Small nucleolar RNA from Spea bombifrons (plains spadefoot toad), 66 nucleotides. RefSeq annotates it as small nucleolar RNA SNORD58. The transcript has a single exon. Lineage: Eukaryota; Metazoa; Chordata; Amphibia; Anura; Pelobatidae. The record is from RefSeq and is a predicted model, not a curated record.
CUGCCAUGAUGACUAUCUUAGGACACCUUUGGAUAAAUAAUGAAACAAACUUUCUUUCUGAGCGGC